AAACUAAAAUUAGAAUCAUGAUUUAGAAAACACAUUGUCACAUUUUAUAAUGAGGUACAUUUUCACAUCUACUUGAUCACUCAGCAAGUACAGUGUGCCGCAUUGUACAACGAGCCACAUGUCUCAAAAUAAGAAAACAAAUGCACUUCGCUACAUUGUACAAUGAGCUCCACUACAACACCGUUAUGGAGGGCCAUUCACAUAUUCCUAUUGCCAUGCAUGCUAGGCGCCCAAUUAACACUGAACACUUCUCUAUAUACCCGGAAACGGAACGGUUAUGUAUGAGUUUACACUUAUCACUUUCUCACUACAUCUAGAAACGGAAUGGUUAUGUAAAGGUACACUGAAGUCUAGCAUCAUGUAGGUGCUUUUGGAACGAGUUGACUCGAUAACGAGUAAUGCACAUUUAUCAAAAUCACUUUUCAUAACACAUGGACAAAAUAACAUUUAAAACACAAUAACCCUUUCACAAAACACUUGCACUUUAUAUAUGAAAUACGUAUAAACUACUAAUGAAAAUACUUGAAAACUACAUAAACCAUGCAAUUACAAUAUCCACUUACCUCAGGUUCGAUGCAAUCAAUUUAAGCUCUCUCUAUUUGAGAAGAGAUUCCCCUUAUUUUUUUCUCAGUUACCUCUAGUCAUUCAGGUAGAGUCUCCC
Molecule: long non-coding RNA, 661 nt
Filed under: Carica papaya (papaya)
Lineage: Eukaryota; Viridiplantae; Streptophyta; Magnoliopsida; Brassicales; Caricaceae
Description: long non-coding RNA (CPAP_LNC001565)
Source: RNAcentral